This is a long non-coding RNA of Notothenia coriiceps (black rockcod), 340 nucleotides long. RefSeq lists it as uncharacterized. The record is from RefSeq and is a predicted model, not a curated record. Lineage: Eukaryota; Metazoa; Chordata; Actinopteri; Perciformes; Nototheniidae. The transcript has 3 exons.
UAUGACUUCAUGAAUAUGUAUUAACUACACUUUGAUUUUCAAGGCAUACGAAUAUCUCUUUAUCUCGCAUCAUUGGGGAGAUAACCACAUUUUCCACACACUUGAGUCAUUUUAAUCAAUAAUUUAUUUACAGCACUACAGUGGUUUCAGCCUUUCCGUCCAAUCACACCCAGCGACAGCUCGGUAGGAGACCAUGUGAUCACCAGCGAGCAGCUACCGUUCGUCUGUCAGACCAUCGAGGUGACCACUGAGGACGAGGAGCAGACCGUAAGCUCCUCCCACUCGUACCCGCUGCAAAUCUCUCCUGUGUCCUCAUGCUGCGGCAGCGACACGGGCAAAG